GGGCGCUAUCUCCAACUGUCUUUGCACUUCUGAGUAAGAAUCUGAUGAUUGUGCACAGUGACCUGGCUGUUCACUUCCCUGCCAUUCAGUAUGCUGUGCUCUACACAUUGUAUUCUCAUUGUACCAGGCAUGAUCACUUUAUCUCUAGUAGCCUCAGUUCUUCCUCUCCUUUGUUUGAUGGAGCUGUGAUUAGCACUGUAACUACGGCCACAAAGAAACAUUUCUCAAUUAUAUUAAAUCUUCUGUGAAUAUUACUUAAGAAAGAUAACCUUAACCAGGACACGAGGU
This 288-nucleotide long non-coding RNA is filed under the name Homo sapiens (human). Its description in RNAcentral is "non-protein coding lnc-NPIPB13-3:1". Lineage: Eukaryota; Metazoa; Chordata; Mammalia; Primates; Hominidae. The record is from RNAcentral.